UUGAAUUAUCUUUCGGUAUUACUUCAGAUAAUUCAAUAGUACGAUCAAGAUUUCCUGGAUCCCAAAUAUGGAACCCUAAAGGUUAGAGUCCAUUUGUUGGGUCCACAGAAGGGCCAAAAAACAACAUAACUGCUUUGGACACCCUACCAGUUGAUUUGGGCCUUUGGCAAGAGUUCAGCCCACAAACUUUGAGCCUUGUCAAUGAUCUGGGCACCAAACUCAAUAUUUGGGGAAAACCCGACCAGGAACGCCGCCACACAGCGCCGUCGUGAUUCACCGUCGAUUUGGGUGAGAAGCAACGCAAUACCAUACCACCUCCAAUCUUGGUCGGAUCCACGGGCAGUUGCCCUUUCUGCCUCCAAGUUGCAAAACCUCUUACCCGCAACAACUCCGACGCUGAUCUGGGAAACCCAAAGGAAACCAGAGCCGAAAUUGAUCGCGGUAGAGGGCUCAUCCUCGAUCUGCACACCUUCUUCACAUAUACCUUAUCGACCUUGAGUCUUGCUCUACAAGGUCGAGUCUGACCCAUUGUCGAUGCCAUCAUACGACGCAAAACUUUGCCACCCCAAUACAUAAGAUCUGAAUUGCAUCGAAGGUUUUCAAUGGAAGCUCCAAAAUCGUAGUUGAGUGCACUAGAUGGCCAUAACUGUUUCGAUUGAGAGUUUGCCAACAAAGAUCAGCUUAGAAGGGUCGAUGAUCGAUCCCAAAGGGUGGACCAGAAGGAUCCACUACAGAGAUGGCUGCCUAUGUUGUAUUGAGAUGACAAUGAUUCGAUUCUUGGCAAGAGCAAAAGUAGGAAACAUUGGUAUGGAAACUUACAAGUCAUUGGCUGAUGGUUGCUGGAGUUGAAGGUUGUAAGCAUCAUAGGAAGAAGCAUCCCUGGUCAAAAUUUAAUUUCAUUAACAAAAAAGUUGAUGACAUGCAAGAAGAACAGUAUU
Molecule: RNA transcript, 938 nt
Organism: Fragaria vesca subsp. vesca
Lineage: Eukaryota; Viridiplantae; Streptophyta; Magnoliopsida; Rosales; Rosaceae
Exons: 2
Source: RefSeq, a predicted model, not a curated record